AGUAAAGCGUUCGCGUUUAGUAAUCCACUUAUAAGCAUGAAGACAUCUGUAUAAACAAUCGCGUUUUUUGCAAUAAUUGUCCAAGGUCGGCUCACUCUCUGCAAAAGUAGUAUCGGUUGAUUUUUGGUGGAUGCGCCGGUUUCGUGAUUAAGCGGAACAAUUAAACUUGUGUUAUUUCUAAUGCAAAGUGAUGGACAAUGUUCGUCCACUCGUCAUUAAAUAAUCAUAAAAUUGGAGUGCACUUUUACGAGAUGAAAAUUCGGCAGCACAGUAAACAAGCUUUUGCGGCUCCAAGACGUCUGGCGUCUAUUGAACUGCGUUUUCCCGAUUACUCCCAACAUACUUAAUCCGACGUCAAGUCGGGACAUUUCGUUCAGUUGAAAAUUUCCAAAAUGACACAGUAUUUUCACUCGAUUUUCAAUCUAAGAAUCGGAUGGUUUAUCCUAGUCGUCAUUAACUUCAUUUUUGGCAUUUGUGGGAUAAUCACAUGUACACUGAAACUAAAGCAUGGGAGUGAACAAGCACGGGAUGAUUUUUUCAAGCUUUCGAUAGUGUUUGCAACAUGUAAUCUGAUCUUAAGUGUGUUGCUUCUAGUGUCAGUCAUUAAGAAUAAUCAAAAAUAUGCAUUUCUGUGCGCUUUUUUGAGCUUUUUGAGCUUAUUUUCGGCGGUGAUUCACGUCGAAAUUGGGACGACUUCCAAUGUUACGUUUAUCAUCGUGUUUGUAGUUGUUGGAUCGAUUUUAGGAGCCUUAUUUUUGUUCUGGUUUUGCAUUUAUGCGUCGUAUCAGGUUCUUUACCAACGCAAACAAGAAAUGGAACAGGCUUACAUGUCCCCUAUUUGAACCACCAGUGUAUUACAAUAACUGAAGCAUUCCGAUUAUAAAAAACAGGAAAGAGAAAACUGGACCAAAGUACCUGCAUGAAAACAACAUCUUGAAAUAAAAAGUACUCACCUGUGUUGUUACAACUUUAGUCAUUUUUUAUAACUUUAUUGAAAAUAAAAUGUAUUUGUUUUAACGUCACAAUAAAUAUAAAAUUACAAAACAAGUUAUUUUGUGGCAUUAACUGAUUGAGGGUCUGUGACACGGCCAGCAAACAAUACAAAUCGCUCUUUCGCAACGAUAUAAAACAAAAAUGGAUGAUCAACCUCAAAAUUCUGAGGGACUCCAAAGAAGCCAAUUCUGUCGAUACCUAUAACUGAAGAAUUGGCAAAAUUAAAAACAUGUCAAUCAUCAGCAUCCAAGCUAAAGUAGAGAAGAAAAAAGUAAAAGUAUUUUCCCACUUUAUUUAACUGGCAUCCUUUUAAUUAAAACAUACAAAAUUCGAAACACUAUUUAAGGUUGGAAACUCGUCCUCCGAAUAAAAUAACAUUUUUUGUGGUGAUGUAAUAAAUGAAGGGAUGAUCGGCAACGAAGAUUUUUGGGUCUUUGUUUGGCGCAUACUCGAGCGAAAUGCGAACUGCCUGGACUGAAACCAAACCAAAAUUUUGGACAACAGCUAUUAAAAAGACAUGCCAGAAAUAAGGAAAAAACAACCAAAGCUAGAAAUUUUAUUCAGAAGUCAUACAUAAAAAAUUAUACAGCAAAUAGUAUAUAAUGCGUUCAAGGCGUGUUAUACUUUCCAGCCAAUAACACAAACUCGUUCAACUUCAAGUAGAAAACGAAUGGGUGGUUUGCUUUAAACUGCUUUACAUUUCCAUGCUGGGGUGGCAGACUUAAAGUAACCACAACUGAGGCUAAAAUAAUUCAAGUGUAAAAGCACAGUGUCGUACAGGGCGCGAAACAGGACAAUUGUCUACUUAAAAUUAACUCGACCAGCAAAGAAUAUUACAGAUUUAAGUUUCAAGUAAAAAAUGAAUGGCCUGUCAACUUCAAUUGUAUACUUUGGGGGCGCUGGGAGAGAUUCAGUGCUAAUAACUGCAAAUAACAUCAAAAAUCAAUACCAAGAAAAACUUUAUUAAUCAGAGAAUACUUUUGUUAAGUAGACAAUACGUAUAAACUACCACUAAUUAUCACAUUAACCGCAAACAGCAAAGCUUUAUUGUGGCGACACAACUCUACCAACGAGUAAAAUCGUAUUAUUAGAUUUUAUGUAAAAUAGAAAAGGGUGGCGGGCAAAGAAAGUAUAAACCAAUUUUCUAAC
Molecule: RNA transcript, 2142 nt
Organism: Tribolium castaneum (red flour beetle)
Lineage: Eukaryota; Metazoa; Arthropoda; Insecta; Coleoptera; Tenebrionidae
Exons: 6
Source: RefSeq, a predicted model, not a curated record